CCUACGGGCGGCUGCAGUGGGGAAUAUUGCACAAUGGGCGCAAGCCUGAUGCAGCCAUGCCGCGUGUGUGAAGAAGGCCUUCGGGUUGUAAAGCACUUUCAGCGGGGAGGAAGGCGUUAAGGUUAAUAACCUUGUCGAUUGACGUUACCCGCAGAAGAAGCACCGGCUAACUCCGUGCCAGCAGCCGCGGUAAUACGGAGGGUGCAAGCGUUAAUCGGAAUUACUGGGCGUAAAGCGCACGCAGGCGGGCUGUCAAGUCGGAUGUGAAAUCCCCGGGCUCAACCUGGGAACUGCAUUCGAAAAUGGAAGGCUAGAGUCUUGUAGAGGGGGGUAGAAUUCGAGGUGUAGCGGUGAAAUGCGUAGAGAUGUGGAGGAAUACCGGUGGCGAAGGCGGCCCCCUGGACAAAGACUGACGCUCAGGUGCGAAAGCGUGGGGAGCAAACAGGAUUAGAUACCCUUGUAGUC
This 465-nucleotide ribosomal RNA is filed under the name uncultured Klebsiella sp. RNAcentral's name for it is "bacterial SSU rRNA". It matches the Rfam family "Bacterial small subunit ribosomal RNA", at positions 338 to 795 of the family's 1533-position model. Lineage: Bacteria; Pseudomonadati; Pseudomonadota; Gammaproteobacteria; Enterobacterales; Enterobacteriaceae. The record is from RNAcentral.